GUAGAACCGGUAACUGGGGCUAAGUCGUAACAAGGUAGCCGUACCGGAAGGUGCGGCUGGAACACCUCCUUU
Molecule: ribosomal RNA, 72 nt
Filed under: Cyclobacterium sp. NO-T56
Lineage: Bacteria; Pseudomonadati; Bacteroidota; Cytophagia; Cytophagales; Cyclobacteriaceae
Also listed under: 1 other name
Description: partial 16S ribosomal RNA
Rfam family: Bacterial small subunit ribosomal RNA
Source: RNAcentral